UCAGGCCUAACACAUGCAAGUCGAGGGGUAGAGUUAGCUUGCUAACUUGAGACCGGCGCACGGGUGCGUGACGCGUAUGCAAUCUACCUUGUACAGAGGGAUAGCCCAGAGAAAUUUGGAUUAAUACCUCAUAGUAUCUUCGAGAGGCCUCUCUUGAUUAUUAAAGUUCCAACGGUACAAGAUGAGCAUGCGUCCCAUUAGCUAGUUGGUAUGGUAACGGCAUACCAAGGCUAUGAUGGGUAGGGGUCCUGAGAGGGAGAUCCCCCACACUGGUACUGAGACACGGACCAGACUCCUACGGGAGGCAGCAGUGAGGAAUAUUGGUCAAUGGGCGAGAGCCUGAACCAGCCAUGCCGCGUGCAGGAAGACGGUCCUAUGGAUUGUAAGCUGCUUUAUACAGGAAGAAACCCUCCCACGUGUGGGAGCUGAC
Molecule: ribosomal RNA, 430 nt
Filed under: uncultured bacterium
Lineage: Bacteria
Description: bacterial SSU rRNA
Rfam family: Bacterial small subunit ribosomal RNA
Source: RNAcentral